Molecule: long non-coding RNA, 747 nt
Filed under: Rhinopithecus bieti (black snub-nosed monkey)
Lineage: Eukaryota; Metazoa; Chordata; Mammalia; Primates; Cercopithecidae
Description: lncRNA (ENSRBIG00000046182.1)
Source: RNAcentral
CCUCUCCACAUCAACAACUAGAAACUGAACAGAAUCCAUGAAGCACCUGUUUACAGACACUGAGGACCUCAGCCAAGGAUAGAAUCUUCAACUCAGAAGCACCAGUCCCUCUCAUUUGAGGAAAGGAUGAGAAGGAAGGAAUGGCCUGACUUCCUCAUGUAUGCCCUGAUUCUUGGUAGGCACCAUGUUGGGGCUGUCAUACAUGUGCCGAAGCUUUGGGAAUGUUCCAUUUAAACACCGAUUUCAAGGCCAAUGCCUUACAUGGAGCACAAAUAUCCAGGAGGAUCUUCCAAGUAAACUCCUUGCCUUUGACUCCCUGCCUUGGGCCCUCUUCAGAAGAUCCUCAGACCAGGACAGGAGUGUAGAGGCCAGGACCGCAACUACAAUUUUGUCAUGAACAGCAAACCUGGGUUGGUAGGCUGUGUGUUUGCAGAUGAUGAUGAUACUAAAGAAGUCUAUAGCAGUUCUCAGUGGCUGAAGCAUUCGGGAUGCAUGGUUUGUGGGGCACUCCAGGGAUGUCAUUUGAAGCCUGUGAACACGGAGCAGUCCUCCUGGUCAACUCAAAGACAGUUCCACAAGGCUUUUCUCCAUGUCACCACUGCUUAAACAUCUAGACUUCCUAUAAUCAGUGUGAGUAGUAAAAUAAAAAGAUACACUAGAUUGUCAUUGCUGGCCAAAAAAUCCAAAAUGGAUAAAACCAUUCAGAACUCUUGACUCAAGGACACACCUUACCAAAGUGACUGCCCG